GGUGAGCCACUGCGUCAGUGGCUGUUUUACUUGAUUUGAUAGACGCAUCUUUCCCAGGCAGCAAUGUUGCUCUUCUUUUACUUCCUCUUCUUCUUGAGGGCUUGGCUAAUUCGCUGCUAGUUCCGUUGAAACCGUCUCAGCCUCGCGUCAGGGAUCCUGCCAGCAGCCAUGCCUUCGUCGUCCUCCUGUUGUCGCUCUUAGCUGCUGAGACACCUACUGCCUCUUCCUCCAUCGCCCAAUCUCCGUUCAUUGUCCGCCUUCACACCGCAGUUUAUUUCCCUUCUCCCUGCACCGCUCGCUCAUCCAUGCCUGUUUCCGUUCCAGGUUCCUGUUGGAGCUCCUGAUGAAGCAGUACCCCUCGGUGUACAAGACCGCGCUCAUGGGCAAGACGCUCUGGUGCGGACUGUGGGCCUUCCUGACGGCCGGUAAGAAGAAGACGGGGGGUACAGGCAGGCAGGUAUGCAUACAUGCAUGCAUGCAUAUGCUCCAUGGCCCCGUGGCCCUUCAUGCUGUGGCGACGUUUUUGGCGGGGACGGGACUGAGCAGAGGGCAACAACGUAUCUCGCCCUUACUCGGAGGUAGAUCAGGAGGCCACGGAAAAAGAACCCUAAACUCCUUUUGCACGCCCGUACAGUGAUGUCGCUGUUUUGGACUGCAUGUACCAAACCCUCCUAUCGGCGCUUCCCUGGCAUAGUGCCUGAACGGAACCGGGGCCCUGCUACCCUGCAACCUCGUGCUGACCUCGUGCGUGCUUGGCCACGCCUCAUGCACGGAAAAUCGCUGGCCAAGUCUACAGACUACGUAAUUUCGUCUUCUAUCCGCUGUUCCAGGAUUCUUCGUUGUGAUGCUGCGCAAGAACGGCUGCCUAAUGACCAUCUUCUCAACCCUGGUCAUCACCUUUUCGCUGCUGGCUGGCGGAGUGUGGAGCGAGAGCUGCGAGCUGGCCGCGGGUUACUUUGGGUUCUUCUGCGGCGCGUCCGCCAUCUACGCCGC
RNAcentral lists this long non-coding RNA (993 nucleotides) under Volvox carteri. RNAcentral's name for it is "long non-coding RNA (VCAR_LNC001474)". Lineage: Eukaryota; Viridiplantae; Chlorophyta; Chlorophyceae; Chlamydomonadales; Volvocaceae. The record is from RNAcentral.